This 253-nucleotide ribosomal RNA is filed under the name uncultured bacterium. Its description in RNAcentral is "partial 16S ribosomal RNA". It matches the Rfam family "Bacterial small subunit ribosomal RNA", at positions 524 to 776 of the family's 1533-position model. The record is from RNAcentral.
GACGAAGGGUCCUAGCGUUGUUCGGAAUCACUGGGCGUAAAGCGUAUGUAGGCGGGCUUUUAAGUCGAAUGUGAAAUCCCAUGGCUCAACCAUGGAAUUGCAUCCGAAACUGGAAGUCUUGAGUGUGGGAGAGAUUGGUAGAAUACCUGGUGUAGUGGUGAAAUACGUAGAUAUCAGGUGGAAUACCGGUGGCGAAGGCGGCCAAUUGGCCCAACACUGACGCUGAGAUACGAAAGCCGGGGGAGCAAACAGG